RNAcentral lists this long non-coding RNA (297 nucleotides) under Manacus vitellinus (golden-collared manakin). Its description in RNAcentral is "lncRNA (ENSMVIG00005003958.1)". Lineage: Eukaryota; Metazoa; Chordata; Aves; Passeriformes; Pipridae. The record is from RNAcentral.
AAUUGAUUUUUGGCUGAGAAGAGCACUCAAAAAGCCACGCAGAUUUGGUAGUAACAGGCAAAACUGAUAUCUUGGAUCUGGCACUGAACAGAGUGAUCAUGGUGCUGAGACGGCAGAACCAUGCAGCAGAGCCUGGGCUUCUGCUUGGUCCCCUGCCUCUGGACUUCUGUAAAACCUAUGUUGUCUCUAUUUUGUAUAUGCCAGCUAAAUUUAUGCAUAUUAAUUACACAUUUUAUACUUGAAAUGUUUCUGUUUUGAUAUUUUUGUUGAUAGAGCACAGAAAAUAAUCUAAAGCAU